AAUAACCCGCUGGAACUAAGCAUAUUCAAUAAGGCGGAGGAAAAGAAACCAACAGGGAUUGCCUCAGUAACGGCGAGUGAAGCGGCAACAGCUCAAAUUUGAAAUCUGGCCCUCGGGUCCGAGUUGUAAUUUGCAGAGGAUGCGUUCGGCGACGCACUGACCGAGUCCCCUGGAAUGGGGCGCCAUAGAGGGUGAGAGCCCCGUAUGGUCGGCUGCUGAACCGGUGUAAUGCUCCUUCGACGAGUCGAGUAGUUUGGGAAUGCUGCUCUAAAUGGGAGGUAAAUUUCUUCUAAAGCUAAAUACCGGCCAGAGACCGAUAGCGCACAAGUAGAGUGAUCGAAAGAUGAAAAGCACUUUGAAAAGAGGGUUAAAAAGCACGUGAAAUUGUUAAAAGGGAAGCGCCUGUGACCAGACUCUGUUCUUGGGGAUCAUCCGUCCUUCUGGGCGGUGCACUCCUCUUGGAUGGGGCCAGCAUCGGUUUUCGCCGGGGGAAAAGGACUUAGGGAACGUGGCUCUCCUCGGAGAGUGUUAUAGCCCUCUGUUUGAUGCCCCGGCGGGGACCGAGGACCGCGCUUCGGCAUGGAUGCUGGCGUAAUGGUCACCGGCGACCCGUCUUGAAACACGGACCAAGGAGUCAAGCAUUAGUGCGAGUGUACGGGUGUAAAACCCGCACGCGCAGUGAAAGCGAACGCUGGUGAGAGCUUCGGCGCAUCACCGACCGAUCCUGACGUUCUCUGACGGAUUUGAGUAGGAGCAUUAACGCUUGCACCCGAAAGAUGGUGAACUAUGCCUGAAUAGGGUGAAGCCAGAGGAAACUCUGGUGGAGGCUCGCAGCGGUUCUGACGUGCAAAUCGAUCGUCAAAUUUGGGCAUAGGGGCGAAAGACUAAUCGAACCAUCUAGUAGCUGGUUACCGCCGAAGUUUCCCUCAGGAU
This 933-nucleotide ribosomal RNA is filed under the name Ophioceras leptosporum. Its description in RNAcentral is "LSU rRNA". It matches the Rfam family "Eukaryotic large subunit ribosomal RNA", at positions 20 to 979 of the family's 3401-position model. The record is from RNAcentral. Lineage: Eukaryota; Fungi; Ascomycota; Sordariomycetes; Magnaporthales; Ophioceraceae.